This is a long non-coding RNA of Bubalus bubalis (water buffalo), 484 nucleotides long. RefSeq lists it as uncharacterized. Lineage: Eukaryota; Metazoa; Chordata; Mammalia; Artiodactyla; Bovidae. The transcript has 3 exons. The record is from RefSeq and is a predicted model, not a curated record.
CCACCGGAAACCCCGCCCCUUCGCCCGGCCUCCGGUUGCUGGAGGGAUGGCCCGCGUGAUCCCGUCCUCUCCCGUAGGCCCCGCCCACCGGGGCUUGUCCUCCAACCCCUACCCUUGUCCCUCGGCUGAAGGAAAACCAAAUACAGGGACCUGGGUCUCCUGAAAGCCAGGGCAGAGCCAAAUGAGGUUACCACCGAAAAGGAGGAGCUGCAAACCCUUGUUUUCUCUGGCACGUGGGAUUAAGGGGCAUAUGGCUACUUUCUUGGACAGGAUUUAUUUUCCAGAUAUUUUCAAUCCUUGGUGGAUUGAAUCCUCUGAUGCAAUACCCGUGGAUAGUGGAUGGCCAGCUGUGCUAGAGAGACUGCUACUGCUGCUGCUAAGUCGCAUCAGUCGUGUCCGACUCUGUGCGAUCCCAUAGAUGGAAGCCCACCAGGCUCCUCUGUCCCUGGAAUUCUCCAGGCAAGAACACUGGAAUGGGUUACCA